AAAGGUGGCUUUGGCUACCAAUUACAGAUGGACCCGCGGCGCAUUAGCUAGUUGGUGAGGUAACGGCUCACCAAGGCGACGAUGCGUAGCCGACCUGAGAGGGUGAUCGGCCACACUGGGAUUGAGACACGGCCCAGACUCAUACGGGAGGCAGCAGUAGGGAAUCUUCCGCAAUGGACGAAAGUCUGACGGAGCAACGCCGCGUGAGUGAAGAAGGUUUUCGGAUCGUAAAACUCUGUUGUUAGGGAAGAACAAGUACCG
Molecule: ribosomal RNA, 261 nt
Filed under: Bacillus sp. (in: firmicutes)
Lineage: Bacteria; Bacillati; Bacillota; Bacilli; Caryophanales; Bacillaceae
Description: Bacillus sp. (in: Bacteria) partial 16S ribosomal RNA
Rfam family: Bacterial small subunit ribosomal RNA
Source: RNAcentral